This 253-nucleotide ribosomal RNA is filed under the name uncultured bacterium. Its description in RNAcentral is "partial 16S ribosomal RNA". It matches the Rfam family "Bacterial small subunit ribosomal RNA", at positions 524 to 776 of the family's 1533-position model. The record is from RNAcentral.
UACGGAGGGCGCAAGCGUUGUUCGGAAUCAUUGGGCGUAAAGCGCGUGCAGGCGGCUUGGUAAGUCGGGUGUGAAAUCCCGGGGCUCAACCCCGGAACUGCAUCCGAUACUGCCUCGCUCGAGUCCCGGAGAGGAUGGCGGAAUUUCCGGUGUAGAGGUGAAAUUCGUAGAUAUCGGAAGGAACACCAGCGGCGAAGGCGGCCAUCUGGACGGUGACUGACGCUCAGACGCGAAAGCGUGGGGAGCAAACAGG